Long non-coding RNA from Carassius gibelio (silver crucian carp), 1719 nucleotides. RefSeq lists it as uncharacterized. The record is from RefSeq and is a predicted model, not a curated record. Lineage: Eukaryota; Metazoa; Chordata; Actinopteri; Cypriniformes; Cyprinidae. The transcript has 4 exons.
CAAAAGUUAGGACGGCAUUAUUGCACACUGUCUUCAUCUUAGUGUAGCCAGGUCAGUAGAGGGCGCUGCUGAGGGUAUCAGUAUAGGGUGUAAGUUCCCUUUAAAUAUGUCACUUCCUGUUGGUUGGAAUGGCUGCAGUGUUUGAAUUGUUUGGCAUGGUCGGUCGCUGGAAGAACAAGCUCUGAGAAGUUUUCUUAAAGGCCCUCAUAUUGGCUGCUGAACGAGAUGAGCAGUGGAUAUUAACGACGGUUGUACUUCCUGUGGCGUCUGAAAUAAGAGAACAGAGUCAUGCACAUGGAAACCCAGCCUGCAACAAUACAUCAGAAUGUGCAAAAAAGGGAAGAUAAAGAAAUGGGGUAAGAAGGCAGCAUCAGGAUUACUUCAAGUGUACCGUACACACAGCUUCAAUGGAGGGAUUGAGAGCUCUUGGACUAAAUCUAAAAUAUCUUAAACUGUGUUCCAAAGAUAAAUGGAGGUCUUACUGGUUUGGAACGACAUGAGGGUGAGUUAUUAAUGACAUAAUUUUGAUUUUUGGGUGAACUAACCCUUUAAAGCAUAGUGCUGAAUUCAAUUUAGAUUUACGAACUUUAUAUGGAGCAACUAAUUAUCUAAAAUCUCACUUUCUGACUAAUAAAUUUGACCUGAAGUUAUAAAAGAGGCAGAGCUAAAUAAUCAAAAUACAAGAUAGACCUGCUUUUGAAUAUGAUCAUAUUUUGCUCAGAUCUGAAAUUCUCAGUUUAGCUCAGGAGACAUAACACUGUAAAUUGAUCAGUGAAAGACACUGGUGUAAGAGAGCAUGGAAAUUUAAGCAGGAAUAAAUCUGAUACACUACAUCAAUGCACUCAUGAACCGCAGAUCGGAUCAGUGACGAUGUUGACAAGGGUUUAAUCUUUGCUCAACACAUUUUUCUAGACUAAAGGAUUUGAAGGUUGCCACAUUAUUGCUUUACAUGGAACCUUAUUCUGUUAAUAUUGUUUGGAAACAAUUAUUUGAUUAAGUUUGUAUACUUCAAUCUAGUCACCUUCUGAAUAACUCCUGUGUUACUCUGGCCUGACUGUCACUGCCAAAAAGAGUCUGACCCUUCUGUGACCUCCUCUGCAACUAAUACCAAGCUGUUGGGUCUGGGAACUCUGGAUGAAUUGAUUUAAAGCAAUGACAGAUUCAGGACGGGUGCAAAGGUGUAGAGAUGAAUGCCUCGUACAUCUCUUCUCACCUAACCCCAAUGAGUGUGUGUGCGCCUGAGCCCAAAGGAAUUGUGGUACAUACCAUUUCAUACAUAGGACAAUGUGCCAUUAAGUCACCUUCAACUUUAAACCUCAAAAAAGCAUACAAUAAAACAAGCUGAUAGUACUACACUGUACAUUGCAACUGUAUUUAAACUCAAAUCAAAGUAUCUGAUAGACAGUGUUGGGAAAAGUUACUUUUAAAAAUUACGCUUUACAAUAUUGCAUAACUCUCUAAAAAAGUAACUAAUGGUGUUAGUACAGGUAUGUGUUACUUUACUGGUCUGGGCUUACAUGUUUGUAUUUGAUAAAAGAAAGUUCUAUUUUUGGCAAAUGUAAAAGCCAUUUGACACAAGAAGUUAAAUGAAUAAUCCUCAGACUGAAGGAAAUGUAGAUUCACAUCUGUACAGUAGAGGAUGCAGCUCAAACAAACCUUUCAGCUGUGAGACAAUUCUGGAUUGAAUUAUAGUGAACAGGAGAUGAAAAUGAACAGUCU